This 380-nucleotide ribosomal RNA is filed under the name uncultured bacterium. Its description in RNAcentral is "partial 16S ribosomal RNA". It matches the Rfam family "Bacterial small subunit ribosomal RNA", at positions 338 to 715 of the family's 1533-position model. The record is from RNAcentral.
CCUACGGGUGGCAGCAGUGAGGAAUAUUGGUCAAUGGGCGCAAGCCUGAACCAGCCAAGUCGCGUGAGGGAUGACGGUCCUAUGGAUUGUAAACCUCUUUUGUCGGGGAGCAAGGCCCGCCACGUGUGGCGGGAAGGAGAGUACCCGAAGAAAAAGCAUCGGCUAACUCCGUGCCAGCAGCCGCGGUAAUACGGAGGAUGCGAGCGUUAUCCGGAUUUAUUGGGUUUAAAGGGUGCGUAGGCGGAAGGUUAAGUCAGCGGUCAAAUGUCGGUGCUCAACACCGGCCUGCCGUUGAAACUGGUUUUCUGGGGUGAGGGAGAAGUAUGCGGAAGGCGUGGGGGAGGGGGAAAAGGAAUGAAUAUCACGCAGAACUCGGAUGG